GGGCCCGGGAGUGGUCUCCGUGGCCAGAUUUAGCACCCGGCUUCCGGGGUUCGAUUCCCCGCGGGUCCA
Molecule: transfer RNA, 69 nt
Filed under: Candidatus Falkowiibacteriota bacterium
Lineage: Bacteria; Candidatus Falkowiibacteriota
Description: Candidatus Falkowbacteria bacterium tRNA-OTHER
Source: RNAcentral